UAAGCCCUACGGGAGGCAGCAGUGAGGAAUAUUGGUCAAUGGACGCAAGUCUGAACCAGCCAAGUAGCGUGCAGGAUGUCGGCCCUCCGGGUUGUAAACUGCUUUUAGUUGGGAAUAAAAGGGGGCUCGUGAGCCCCGUAUUGUAUGUACCAUCAGAAAAAGGACCGGCUAAUUCCGUGCCAGCAGCCGCGGAAAUACGGAAGGUCCGGGCGUUAUCCGGAUUUAUUGGGUUUAAAGGGAGCGUAGGCCGGCUUUUACGUCAGCUGUGAAAGUCCGCGGCUCAACCGUGGAAUUGCAGUUGAAUA
This 305-nucleotide ribosomal RNA is filed under the name uncultured bacterium. RNAcentral describes it as "bacterial SSU rRNA". It matches the Rfam family "Bacterial small subunit ribosomal RNA", at positions 333 to 632 of the family's 1533-position model. The record is from RNAcentral.